Papaver somniferum (opium poppy) is the source of this 1166-nucleotide long non-coding RNA. RefSeq lists it as uncharacterized. Lineage: Eukaryota; Viridiplantae; Streptophyta; Magnoliopsida; Ranunculales; Papaveraceae. The record is from RefSeq and is a predicted model, not a curated record. The transcript is spliced from 4 exons.
AGUGCUCGCAGUUCAACUAGCAGCGACUUAGGAGGUUGCCCUAGCUGACGUGGAUGAGGUUGCCCUAGCUGACGUGGAUGGCCAAUCUAGCUGCUAGAUUAGAAGACCAUAGGGGUUAGCCUUAGAUACAGUUGGUAAAUAUGGAGAAAAUGGACGUUGGUACUAACUUGAUCUUAGCUUUGGCACACAUUGACAAUGAGCUGAAGCGGUAAGAGCUUCACAUCUUUGGGCCAAUCAUAAGGGUGGGAAUAACCUCAAAAGGCAGAAUGUAUGAAGAAGCCCACUCCUGCAAUACCUCAAAGGCUCGAAGAACUGACACUUUAAGAACAGCCGUUGUAUAUUGACCUUGAAGAAGGAAAGAACUUUGAGAACCUCUAUGUUAUAGAAGGAUGCAAUUUACUGUGGUUGUAUUUCCCUAUACUUCGUUAGGUGCAAGGUCAUUCUAUACUCCUAGUGAUUUUUAUGUCAUACUUUUUUUAAGAUUUGACAUUUAUUUCAUUUCCCUAGGUGGCUGCAGGUUUUAUGUGCCAGUUUAGAUGAGUAGCAGGCAGACACGUCAUAAAAAUAGGAGCAAAGCAGUUGGAAGGAAAAUCCAAGUUACAGAGCCUCUUAGAUACUAGGGCUGGGCUAGAACACAGCUGCUCCUGGGGACGAAUGCCAGCAGGAAUUGCAAUGGUGCCGAUGGUUCUGCCAGAUGGACGAGUUGGAUAUGUUUUGUAAGUUACAACAGCCUGGUGCACAAACUCCUGUACCCCCACAAUCUCGGAGAGAUGAUAGUGGCAGUAGUGACUCAUGUAGAUCACAAGGAAGUGGAGGAAAUAAUGGUGGUGAUGGGGGUCGUAGCUGGAGGUAAAACCCUUAUUAGUAGUGGUGGUAUCUUGUAAUAUGAUCUGUUUUCUUGAAGAAUCUUGAUCUAACGAAACAAGAAAAAGAAGCUUGAGACAAACAAAGUUAUUUGCCUAAACGUUCUUCUGUAACUCACCCAUAGUGUAAUUCUCUGUGUGCUCACCUUUGGUAGUGUUUGGAAUCGAUUGUGAUCAAUAAUUGUUCUUGAACGAUUGUGAUGAUAUUGAGAUUCCAUCCAAAUAAUAAAUUGGGUCUUCUAGUACAUCUAAAAUGGAAUAUGCAGGUGCAUAAUUAAUAUAUAUUCAGGUGCAGAAAUCUGU